UCCUUGGUGGUCCAGUGGCUAAGAUUUCAACCUCUCAAUGCAUGGAUCCAGGUUCGAUUCCUGGUCAGGGAA
RNAcentral lists this transfer RNA (72 nucleotides) under Ovis aries (sheep). It matches the Rfam family "tRNA". Rfam says of the family: Transfer RNA (tRNA) molecules are approximately 80 nucleotides in length. Their secondary structure includes four short double-helical elements and three loops (D, anti-codon, and T loops). Further hydrogen bonds mediate the characteristic L-shaped molecular structure. tRNAs have two regions of fundamental functional importance: the anti-codon, which is responsible for specific mRNA codon recognition, and the 3' end, to which the tRNAs corresponding amino acid is attached (by aminoacyl-tRNA synthetases). tRNAs cope with the degeneracy of the genetic code in two manners: having more than one tRNA (with a specific anti-codon) for a particular amino acid; and 'wobble' base-pairing, i.e. permitting non-standard base-pairing at the 3rd anti-codon position. Lineage: Eukaryota; Metazoa; Chordata; Mammalia; Artiodactyla; Bovidae. The record is from Rfam by way of RNAcentral.